RNAcentral lists this unclassified non-coding RNA (378 nucleotides) under soil metagenome. RNAcentral describes it as "partial contains 5.8S ribosomal RNA, internal transcribed spacer 2, and large subunit ribosomal RNA". The stretch from base 1 to 120 matches the Rfam family "5.8S ribosomal RNA", at positions 35 to 154 of the family's 154-position model. The record is from RNAcentral.
GAUGAAGAACGUAGCGAAAUGCGAUAAGUAAUGUGAAUUGCAGAAUUCAGUGAAUCAUCGAAUCUUUGAACGCACCUUGCACCCUUUGGCAUUCCGAAGGGUAUGCUCGUUUGAGUGUCAUUGUACUCUCACACUUCCGAUCUUUGGAUUGGGAGCGGUGGACUUGGGUGUUGCUGCUUACUGUGGCUCACCUCAAAUCGAUUCGUGCACCUCUUGGUUGGACAUAGUACGGCGUGAUAAGUGUCUUCGCCGGCACCUCAGUAGAGGGUGGCUGAUCGGGAUGUUGUGCUCCAAACCGUCUUCGGACAAUCUCUGACGACUUGACCUCAAAUCGAGUAAGACUACCCGCUGAACUUAAGCAUAUCAAUAAGCGGAGGA